RNAcentral lists this ribosomal RNA (253 nucleotides) under uncultured bacterium. Its description in RNAcentral is "partial 16S ribosomal RNA". It matches the Rfam family "Bacterial small subunit ribosomal RNA", at positions 524 to 776 of the family's 1533-position model. The record is from RNAcentral.
UACAGAGGUCCCAAGCGUUGUUCGGAUUCACUGGGCGUAAAGGGUGCGCAGGUGGCCAGGUAAGUCUGAUGUGAAAUCUCGAAGCUUAACUUCGAAACUGCAUUGGAUACUAUCUGGCUGGAGGGUCGGAGGGGGGACUGGAAUUCUCGGUGUAGCAGUGAAAUGCGUAGAUAUCAUGAAGAAUACCAGUCGCGAAGGCGGCCACCUGGUCCAUUACUGACGCUCAUGCUCGAAAGCGUGGGGAGCAAACAGG